Molecule: long non-coding RNA, 381 nt
Filed under: Volvox carteri
Lineage: Eukaryota; Viridiplantae; Chlorophyta; Chlorophyceae; Chlamydomonadales; Volvocaceae
Description: long non-coding RNA (VCAR_LNC004018)
Source: RNAcentral
CACCAAGACCAUGAAAACCGUGCCAAAGACGCCUUGGAUAUUCUAGCUGACAAGCAAACCCCUGAUGCCCACCGAAAGGAAGCGCUGAAGGUAGUGGGCUGCAAAGGCCCAUCGGUAUUUGCCAAUCUCCUUAGUGAGUGCUUGAGGGCCAGCAGGACACAUAAAUGAUGCUUAAAGAGACUCAAAUACUCGUUGAUGCCAUGUGUGUAUCCUGCCACAAUUGCACUCCCAAAUUGCUUAAAAUGGUUGCCGUCCACACAGGCGUGGAUCUCCAGGACGUCUUCUUGGUGCCUGUCGCGCACGCACUGCUGUUGGGUGUAGUAAAGACCCUGUUGGCGCAGCUCUUUCGCAACCCCAAGGAUGCCAUGGGGCGGCCCGUUG